AGCAAGUUUGCAAUCAUUACCUACUUUCCACCCCAUCACUUUUAUACGAAUUUCUUUCAAAAUAACACUUGAAAACCCAAAGUAAUCUAACUUACCUUUUUACCCCAUCGUUUUCGAAACGAGGAACGCCCUUGCUCUUCGCUAUAUCCUGCGAUUUCUUUACUUAGUGGUUUCUGUUGAUACUGUCUGUCUUCGGGCACGAAAUUCGAGAUAGAUUCAAAAGAGAGCAGCAUUUUAUUGCCGAGAUAGCCUCUGUGCAAAGGUAAAAAAUAAUUUUCGUACAAACAACUUGGAUAUGUUUUGACAAGUAGCAUAGUCGAAUGAAUUAGGUAGAAUUACUUGAUCAAGAAAUAAUAAUCGUUUGCAGAUGGAAGAAUCUGUAAGUUCUUCGGAGCAACGUUCUAGUCCAACAGCGACUAUUCUCACGAACAAACGUGUUACUUUCUCAACUAAAACUCAAGAAUGCGUAUUUACCGCCACCGAAGAUGAGGAAGAAGAUGACGAUGUUAACAGAGACCUAAAUAGAAAGGAAGAAGAAUGUGAUUUACAGGAUGAAAGUGAAAGGUAUGAACAAACAUUACUUUGGAUAAGAAAACAUUCCGAAAAAGCUUUUGAAAAUGGAAAAAUUUAUCAUCAUGAAGCAGAAAACGAGGCAUUUUCACCAGAUAAUAUAAUUGUAAUCGAAGAACCUAUGGGAGAGCCUACUUUACAUUGUCAUUGUAUAGUUGAAAAGCCUCCGACACCUGAGAUGAACAGUUUAGAAUUAGGAAUAGCAACUGCCUCCUUUUUGACUUUUGUAUUAAAUUCGGCUAUAUUUUCUUCAAUUACCCUAUUUUCUACACAAUUCCGUCUUUUACAAGAAAUACAUCCCGUUGUUGUUGGUUUUUGCGCAUCUUUAACUAUGACUUUUGCAGCUGUUGGCGGUUUAAUUGGAAGUAAAUUACUAGUUAAAAAUGGACCAAAAUCGAUAUCAAUAGUUGGUUGUCUUAUGUGCUUUGUUGGUUUAAUAAUCAGUUCAAUUUGCAAUCGAUUCUUAUUAAUAUGCCUUACAUUUGGUAUAAUUACUGGAAUGGGUAUUGGAGUUCAAAUAGUUUCAAACUAUAUCUCAAUAAGUUACGGAAUAAGACAACAAUAUAAAAAUUCUGCACGAGUAAUUUCUCUAAUUGGAUUAUUUUUGGGUCCUAUUAUUUUUCUACCUAUUCAACAAUUGUUAUUAGAUAUUUAUUCUUGGCGAGGAACGUUUCUUAUAUUCAGCUCAAUUUCAUUAAAUUCGCUACCAUUUGCUCUACUCUUACCCAGAAAGCUGACAAUCGAUGAUAAUGAUAUGCUAAAUCAACCAAUUAAUUUAUCUCCAUUCUCCAAAAUCCUGCCAGCCUUGGAUUUUUUCACGGCAAUUAUGACUCACGUUGGAGCUGUAAUUUACUUUUAUUACUCUUAUCAGAAGGCAAUUUAUCUCAAAAUAACAUCUUCAAAAGGGAAAUCUCAAACAGUUAAUUAAAGUAGAAUUAAUUAAGAAAUAAAUAUAUUAUUCAAUGUUAUGUGAGAAAGUAGCUAUAAAAAAGAGAACAAAAGAUAUUAGAAAAGUAAAACAUCAUUAAUUUUUAUAUUAAAUAAUACUAAGGAUAGGUAGUUUGUUAUUUAAUCAACAACAAACUUUUAGGGAGUUGUAGCUCCGUCUUUAUAUAAUUGGAGAAUCCCUUUUGUAGCAACGAUUAUUUUAUGCAUUCAAUUAGCUUUUGCCCUUCUCGCAUUUUUAUUUGCAAGUAAAGUUACAAUUUGCCGAAAGCGUUUUGUAAAGGGCUUAUCGUCAUUAAUAUCUGGAUUGAUGCUACUUAUAGGAGCUGCAACAAAUACUUUCUAUCCGAUGCUUCUCUGCUCAGGAAUUUUUGGGACAUUUUACUCUAUAGCAACAAUACUGCAGUUCGAUAUCAGCAUUAUAACAUCGCUAUUUUCUAUUACUAUGGCUUUUUUUAUAGCUUUACCUCUCGCUGGAACUAUUGAAACUGAGUUAAACCUUGAUCGAGUUUUUCUAAUAUCUGGAUGUACUCAUUCAUUCAGCGGAUUAAUUCAAUUUCUCGUCUCAAUUUUUAUGACUGAUAACCCAAUUACAAACUUUACGAAGAGAAUUAAAGACAGAGAAUCCACACUAGUCUAAAUAGAAAAGAAAUGUUUAAAAAGACCUGUAAAUUAUACUACGAUUUCCCGAUGAUAUUGACAUUAAAAUGUCUAGUAAAAUAAUGAAUUUUUAUUAUUUUAAUAUUAUUUUCUUUAUUUUCG
RNAcentral lists this unclassified non-coding RNA (2277 nucleotides) under Dimorphilus gyrociliatus. RNAcentral's name for it is "mFS domain-containing protein". The record is from RNAcentral. Lineage: Eukaryota; Metazoa; Annelida; Polychaeta; Dinophilidae.